RNAcentral lists this ribosomal RNA (465 nucleotides) under uncultured bacterium. Its description in RNAcentral is "partial 16S ribosomal RNA". It matches the Rfam family "Bacterial small subunit ribosomal RNA", at positions 338 to 795 of the family's 1533-position model. The record is from RNAcentral.
CCUACGGGAGGCAGCAGUAGGGAAUCUUCCACAAUGGGCGAAAGCCUGAUGGAGCAACGCCGCGUGGGUGAAGAAGGUCUUCGGAUCGUAAAACCCUGUUGUUAGAGAAGAAAGUGCGUGAGAGUAACUGUUCACGUUUCGACGGUAUCUAACCAGAAAGCCACGGCUAACUACGUGCCAGCAGCCGCGGUAAUACGUAGGUGGCAAGCGUUAUCCGGAUUUAUGGGCCGUAAAGGGAACGCAGGCGGUCUUUUAAGUCUGAUGGGAAAGCCUUCGGCUUAACCGGAGUAGUGCAUUGGAAACUGGGAGACUUGAGUGCAGAAGAGGAGAGUGGAACUCCAUGUGUACCGGUGAAAUGCGUAGAUAUAUGGAAGAACACCAGUGGCGAAAGCGGCUCUCUGGUCUGUAACUGACGCUGAGGUUCGAAAGCGUGGGUAGCAAACAGGAUUAGAUACCCCAGUAGUC